RNAcentral lists this long non-coding RNA (301 nucleotides) under Vigna radiata. RNAcentral's name for it is "long non-coding RNA (VRAD_LNC005962)". Lineage: Eukaryota; Viridiplantae; Streptophyta; Magnoliopsida; Fabales; Fabaceae. The record is from RNAcentral.
UCACAUUUUCCUUACUUUUCUACACAUGUUAAGAUAUGUUAAAUGUGCAAUUCCACGUGGCAUCUAAUCCACAUAUCGUAGCUUGUGGUCAACCAUGUAUGAUAAACACGAGCUAGGGACUAAAUUCCUUAUAAAAGCAACCAUUUUCACCAUGUAUGAACCACUUUUGAGCAUAUAUACUGAAAUGUUGUUGAGAAUACUCCAACCUUCUUUCUCUACUUAAUAGUCACAACCAAAAAGACCUUGAACCUCCUCUAGACUCCUUCACCUAGUCCAAAUCUUGAUACACCACCUCAAUCAU